RNAcentral lists this ribosomal RNA (143 nucleotides) under Phocaeicola plebeius. RNAcentral's name for it is "Bacteroides plebeius partial 16S ribosomal RNA". It matches the Rfam family "Bacterial small subunit ribosomal RNA", at positions 1 to 130 of the family's 1533-position model. The record is from RNAcentral. Lineage: Bacteria; Pseudomonadati; Bacteroidota; Bacteroidia; Bacteroidales; Bacteroidaceae.
UUUUACAAUGAAGAGUUUGAUCCUGGCUCAGGAUGAACGCUAGCUACAGGCUUAACACAUGCAAGUCGAGGGGCAGCAUAAACUUAGCUUGCUAAGUUUGAUGGCGACCGGCGCACGGGUGAGUAACGCGUAUCCAACCUUCC